AUGAGGAUGAGGUUGAAGAUGGGCACGGGGACAAGGAUGGGGAUGGGGAUAUGGAUGGGGACAGGGACAGGCUAUGCUCACCCACACCAUGUGCUGGGAAAGGAGGUGCUUGUGGGGACUGAUCCCUGUAAUUGCUUCCAUGUGCCUCAGCAGAGCCUUUGGCUGGGGGUGGGGGGGUUAGCCCUUCUCAUAGCUUGGGCAUGAAAAAAAAAAAAAAAAAAUCAAUAGGCAUUUACUUGGCAGCAUUUUGUGCAGAAACAGAUGUGCUGAAGUUGGAGGAGGUGGAGGAUGCUCUGCGGGACGGGGCUGGGGACGGAUCCAGCCAGACCCAGAAGCCCCCACCGCCACAGACGCUCGCUAAACCGGGCAAACCAGGACAAACCUCUGGCUGCCCAGCAAACCUCCCCAUCGCGCUCCUGCCAGAUGUGGCUGCCGGGGUGGGCCGGCAACCCCCUGCCCUGCUGAAGGCUCGCCUUCGCCCUGGGCUCCCAGCGAGGAGGAGGAAGGGCAGGAGAAUCCUUGGCGCGGAGGCCGUUUCGGGCAGGAAAUCCCGGCAGCCUCUUCCCCGAGGCCUGGCAGCCGGGAUCGCUGAGCUGCUGCGGCCGGCGGAGAUAAGGGAAGCAGCAGGAAACUUGGAUCUCUCCUGGGGCAGCCGGGAAAGGAAACUUGAUUCCCGGUGACCGGAGCGGGGCUGGGGGCUGCAACAGAAAGCAAGCGCUCGCAGGAUGCACCGGGGCCGUUCGGUGCUUUGGGAUGUCAGAGAGGAAUAGGGAUGGCGUGGGGCUACGGUAAGAGCGGGGCUUCGGCCGGCUCCGGCGUGGGCUCGGUCGGCGGUGUCCUGUUGCCAGCUGGGUUAGUGGGUCACCGUAACGAUGCCCUCGGAGCGUUUCUCCUUCUGGUUAUCGGAAACCAGUCCUGCUCGAGGUCGAGCUAUUUGGCAGGAAGGGCAACAAACUAGUGCCUUAAACAUCCUGCUGGUUGUGGUAGGAAAGGGCUCUUGCAGGGAAGGGGUUGUGCACAUCUCAGCUCCCUGAAUCAGCACGCACAAGUUUUGUGGCCUCGAGUCCUAAGAAAAAGAGAUGUCUGUGGCCCCCCCCCCCCCCCCCCAUCCUUAAUACCUGGAAUCUGCUGGAUAAUUUCAGCCAAAUCUGACAGUAGCAUCUCUGAGGGUCUGUAAAACCAGAGAGAAGGAAGAGAGACCCUGUUAGCUGCCCGCUUGCCUAAGGUGGGCACAGCUUCGGGUUUGAGCUCAACACUUACAAGCCAUCUGAGAAUCCACAACGGCUGCAUGGCUGGGGUAAGCCCAGCUUACCGGCGGCAGGAACAACCUCUGCGGUGUGUCAGGGGCAAAGGGGGAAUCGCUGGGUGGCCGUGGCCCUCCCGUGGGGCCGUGUCGAGGUAUCUCUCUGGCUGGCUCCAUCCAUGGGACCGUAGCUCCUGCCUGGGCUCGCUGCCUUCCCCGUGGCUGUUUCCUUUCCCGGGAGCAUCCCGGCGGGUGCUGACAGAGGGGAAGCCGUGACAGCGGGGCAGAUUCCCACCAGCGCAGCACCCAGCUCUCAACAUUGCCAUUUUUGGGAACGGUUCUCCUUGACUUUGGUCUCGCUUCUUUGAAUCAGCUUCGCCUCAUGACUCACCGCCUUCUCGCCCUGGCCCACCGCUCCCACGCGCGGGGACACCCUUCCCCGGCGGGUCAGGACCAGGAGAUACAUCAGGAUUCGCUCACGUUCAUCCUCAGGGAUGCACGUGUUGCCCAGGUGGGUCCGGAGACCACCAGCCCCAAGGAGCGAGAGCACCCGCCGGACACCCAGCGAUCCCAAGCCACCCGCCUGCACCCAGGCUUUCUGGCCCGGCCACAGCAGCUUUGCAGCGCCUGGAGGAUGUCCACCCACGCUGCAAAUGAUUUCCAUACGCAGAGUCCAUCCCACACGCUCCAGCUGUGACCCAGCACAGAUCUUUCUGCUCGGGGCAUCGAACGUGUUCUAGGAGAGAGCUUGUCCUUACGGAGAGCUGGGAAGAUGGGGUGCUAGAUCGCAGGUGGGUGCGUAAUAUGGAAAACCAAGGUUUUUACAGAAAAAGGAGGGGGUCUUGGCCCUGGGCCACUCGGCCGGAGCAGAAGUGUGGGAAAACGGCUUGGUGCAUGGAGAAGAGAAAUAAUUAAGGCACUACUCUAAAAGGCAAGAUAGCAAGUGCUGAGCCCUCCCAGCUGGAAAGGUAGUGGAGCUCGGAUCUCCCAGCACCCCGGGGACCCGGACACUCACAGGAUGGAAACACCGCUCCCCCAUGGAAAAGCUUCCCGAGGCAUCUGAGCCCCAGCUCAAAGGAUCGCUCCAGGUUUUAGAAUGUACUUUAAGAGCCUCUCCGAGCAAAUAUGCUUUUAGCCACAUUUUCCUGGCUCCGGCUCUCCAGCCAGCCUUUGUCCCGCCGAGUCUCUCCGAGCUGGGUGAAGAGGUUAUUCUCCCCCGACACGUGUCCCUUCCGUCCGCCGCGAUCAAACCGGUGACCAAAAAAAAAAAGCACCCAGCAGCGCCGAGGUCACCCCGGCCCCUGGCGGUGGACAGGCCGGCUCGAACUGGAGGCGAGAGGAUUUGUUCUUUAAAUUGAAGACUGCUGCAGACCCAGGGGAGUUGCAUGCUAAAAGGGAUUUUAGGGCUGAGCGAUCCGGCUAAAUGGGGAUAGAGUGCUCGGGCUAGUCUAAAAUUCAAUGGGAAAUAGCGAAACACAUGGGCAGCACAUUUGGGAGCCGCCUUCUCCUGUUCCUCCGGCCAGGCUGUUGCAUCCGCACGGGAGCUCUGCGGACCCACCGAGUUUCAGGGGGACAUCAGCCCUCGUGUGUGUCGGCAUGACGAGCCUCCCAUAGCUAAAGGAGCAAGCCAGGCCGCUUUAAUUAUUUUUUUUUUUUUUUUAGCUCUCCUGCUAUUUUCUUUUUUUUCUUUUUUUUCCACUUCAGGAUCCAUCACAUCCCCUUGAAGCGAGCUUCAAAAUCUCCCGGGAUUUUUCCCCUCGGAGGUAGGGGCUGCUCUGCAGCCCUGCCGAGGGCUGUCUCGCUUUGCUUGGGCUCCUUGGGUGCUUUCGUCCCGACGUGGGUCCCUUCCCCGCAGCAGCCGGGGUGCCCCCACGGGCGAGCCCAGGCGGGGAGCUCGCCUCCGGCCUGGGGAAUCCACGGAGAGGAGGAACGGGAGGUUUAGCCGGGAACGGAGGGGUUUCUCCCACGACGCUCGGCGGGACGCCGCGCCGAAGGACCUGCAGCUGCGGGAUAACUCGUCUGGGGAUGCGGCUCCCGGGGUGACGCUCCUCACCCCUUUGCAGCGGCUGGGGUCAGUGGAAUAAACCCCUUUUUGCCGACGCCGGGCCGGGCUCAGCCCUCCAGCCCAGGGAGCGGAGCCGCUGGGCCGUUCCCCAUUUAAAG
This is a long non-coding RNA of Aquila chrysaetos chrysaetos, 3406 nucleotides long. RefSeq lists it as uncharacterized. The transcript has 2 exons. The record is from RefSeq and is a predicted model, not a curated record. NCBI's taxonomy places the organism in Eukaryota, Metazoa, Chordata, Aves, Accipitriformes, Accipitridae.